This 497-nucleotide ribosomal RNA is filed under the name uncultured bacterium. Its description in RNAcentral is "partial 16S ribosomal RNA". It matches the Rfam family "Bacterial small subunit ribosomal RNA", at positions 28 to 507 of the family's 1533-position model. The record is from RNAcentral.
GAUGAACGCUGGCGGCGUGCCUAAUACAUGCAAGUCGAGCGAACGGACGAGAAGCUUGCUUCUCUGAUGUUAGCGGCGGACGGGUGAGUAACACGUGGAUAACCUACCUAUAAGACUGGGAUAACUUCGGGAAACCGGAGCUAAUACCGGAUAAUAUUUUGAACCGCAUGGUUCAAAAGUGAAAGACGGUCCUGCUGUCACUUAUAGAUGGAUCCGCGCUGCAUUAGCUAGUUGGUAAGGUAACGGCUUACCAAGGCAACGAUGCAUAGCCGACCUGAGAGGGUGAUCGGCCACACUGGAACUGAGACACGGUCCAGACUCCUACGGGAGGCAGCAGUAGGGAAUCUUCCGCAAUGGGCGAAAGCCUGACGGAGCAACGCCGCGUGAGUGAUGAAGGUCUUCGGAUCGUAAAACUCUGUUAUUAGGGAAGAACAUAUGCGUAAGUAACUGUGCACAUCUUGACGGUACCUAAUCAGAAAGCCACGGCUAACUACGUG